This is a long non-coding RNA of Oxyura jamaicensis (ruddy duck), 1742 nucleotides long. RefSeq lists it as uncharacterized. The transcript is spliced from 2 exons. The record is from RefSeq and is a predicted model, not a curated record. NCBI's taxonomy places the organism in Eukaryota, Metazoa, Chordata, Aves, Anseriformes, Anatidae.
UCCUUUCUUGGAGGUUAGGUGAAGAGCAACAACAGGAUUGAAUCCUGUUCAGAAUGGGCCAAAAGGAAAAAUAGAUUAUCUGUCCCCUAGAAAGUUUGCCAGGAUAUUAAUGUGCACUGGCUCUUCCCAUAGCCCUGCACAAGAGCAGAGUACAGAUUUCAGUGAUCCCAUUUCACCAACUUUCUCAUAUUCUCCCAUUGCAGCAUAUCAGAAGACACUUGUGAGGAACUGCUCAUGGCAUCUGUCUUACAUUUGUGGUUCUCAGGCUAAAAUAGAUUGAGACAAGACCAAAUCACGUCUGUUAAUGAAUCUAGGUAUUUUCAACCCAGGACCAGUAUCUUGUCACAAAAAGCAGCUUUCCUUUAUUUAGUUCCUUCCUUCCCUGCAUUUUAAAUCAGCCUUUCCCUCUUCAAUUAGUAUAAUAGCAGCCAGGUAUCAGGGUAGAGGGAGAAAAGGGACCCCAUGAAACUUCUUCUCCUCUCCUACCAGCUGCCUGGGUUUGCCCAGGACAAAAGUAUGAGAGCUGGUACCUGGGGAUUGCCCUGCCUUUUCUUACAUCCUUCUAUGGAUACAUCUGGCUCCAAGCAGCAGGAAAUGCUGAAAGGGACAGCAAGCUCCAUACUACUCAGAUAAAUUUUGCUUCUCCAGGGUGUGUGUGGAAUGGAGAGCUUCCGUCCCUAAAGCCAGAGCUCCUUCCCCAUGGGAUAAGUAGGAACCACAAAGCACUCUGACCAUGAGCAAAGACUGACUUGUCUAUUUUUGCAUGCUGUCUGAGCUGUGCAGUGUCCCUUUACAGUUAUAACCUCCAAGAACAUCUCAGAAGGGGUGUGGAGAUAGUCUAUUCUUCAGUCACUUAAUAUUUUGCUGUAUUUUUUUUCAACCCACAGGUGACACAAUGCCUACGCUACACAGUGCUCUUCCCCGCCCUCCAUCCCCCAGCAAAGGGCUGCCUAUAGAAGCUGCACAGAGCAAUGAGGGGAAGGGCUGAAGAUGCCGAGAGAUGAUGCAAGUGUGCAUUAUGGUCCUGAAAUGUCAUUUGGGUGCAUGAAACAGGGAGAAAUACCUGGAAGGAGCAUCCAGCUGCAGUUUCUUUUCACUUCUUUUUCCAGCUUUCGGCUGAACUGCAAAGCCGAGGGAGCCUGCUAAGAGCCUGGGCCUGUCCAUUUGUCUCUCCCCCUACUUCUCUGUCCCUAACCCCCCUCCCUCUCCCCUCCCGCAGCUCCGGAGGGUGGAGGUGCGAUUCGCUAUGCCAGUUUUUUAUUUCCAGCAUGCUUGACAGGCUGGGCGAGGAAGGCGUUAAUGUUUUCUGACAGGCCCCCUCUAAUUGUUGGAGCUUUUCUUCUCUGCCUUUUCUGUGAAAUUCUGACUUAGGCGAGCAGCAUAACAAAAUGCUCUGGCAUUGAAAUGUGCGCUUGCACUACACUGGGCUCGGGGAAACAGCAUUAUUCAUGAAGAUUUUCAGCUGUUUUUGUCUUUUAACUAACCUUUGAGUUUGAUCAGAGGCUAGCCGGGCUCCCUUUCUCAAAAGGCGGUCUUGGCAACCCGACAAUGGAGCCAAACUGUUUUCCCUGUUAAAGAGAUAACUAUGCCGUUGAGUUGGUACAUGGGGGAAAUUAAUCUUCAGGCGCAUACAAAUGAUAGGUUUACCUCGGUCUGCAAUCGCCUGCAUGGGAUUAUUAAUAGGACGCGGGUAAGGAGCAGGAAAAAUUCAGUCUGGGGCAGGGAACUUGGGGGAAGAAGAA